Molecule: ribosomal RNA, 300 nt
Filed under: uncultured Desulfurococcus sp.
Lineage: Archaea; Thermoproteati; Thermoproteota; Thermoprotei; Desulfurococcales; Desulfurococcaceae
Description: bacterial SSU rRNA
Rfam family: Bacterial small subunit ribosomal RNA
Source: RNAcentral
GUAACUGUGUGGGCAGCGGCGGUGGGAAUAGGGAGGGUGGAAGCGUUAAUCGGGAUUAGUGGGCGUAAAGCGGGUGGAGGGGGUGUUGUAAGUCUGAGGUGAAAGCCCUGGGUGCAACCUGGGAAUGGCAUUGGAGACUGGCAGGCUAGAGUGCGGUAGAGGGUAGUGGAAUUCCCGGUGUAGCAGUGAGAUGCGUAGAGAUCGGGAGGAACAUCUGUGGCGAAGGCGACUACCUGGACCAGCACUGACACUGAGGCACGAAAGCGUGGGGAGCAAACAGGAUUAGAUACCCCGGUAGUC